AAGUCGAGCGCGAAAAGCUUUCGGGCUGAGUAGAGCGGCGGACGGGUGAGUAACGCGUAGGAAUCUACCUGGUAGUGGGGGACAACUUGGGGAAACUCAAGCUAAUACCGCAUACGCCCUAAGGGGGAAAGCGGGGGACCUUCGGGCCUCGCGCUAUCGGAUGAGCCUGCGUAGGAUUAGCUAGUUGGUGGGGUAAAGGCCCACCAAGGCGACGAUCCUUAGCUGGUCUGAGAGGAUGAUCAGCCACACUGGAACUGAGACACGGUCCAGACUCCUACGGGAGGCAGCAGUGGGGAAUAUUGCGCAAUGGGCGAAAGCCUGACGCAGCCAUGCCGCGUGUGUGAAGAAGGCCUUAGGGUUGUAAAGCACUUUCAAUUGGGAAGAAAAGUUUGUCGUUAAUAGCGCCAAGCUCUGACAUUACCUUUAGAAGAAGCACCGGCUAACUCCGUGCCAGCAGCCGCGGUAAUACGGAGGGUGCGAGCGUUAAUCGGAAUUACUGGGCGUAAAGCGCGCGUAGGCGGUUUGUUAAGUCAGCUGUGAAAGCCCCGGGCUCAACCUGGGAACUGCAGUUGAUACUGGCCGACUAGAGUACGAGGGGAGGGAGGUAGAAUUCCAUGUGUAGCG
This 624-nucleotide ribosomal RNA is filed under the name uncultured bacterium. Its description in RNAcentral is "bacterial SSU rRNA". It matches the Rfam family "Bacterial small subunit ribosomal RNA", at positions 59 to 680 of the family's 1533-position model. The record is from RNAcentral.